UAAGGAAUAUUGCACAAUGGGGGAAACCCUGAUGCAGCAACGCCGCGUGAGUGAUGAAGGCCUUCGGGUUGUAAAACUCUUUUCUGAGGGAUGAGGAAGGACAGUACCUUAGGAAUAAGUCUCGGCUAACUACGUGCCAGUAGCCGCGGUAAAACGUAGGAGGCGAGCGUUAUCCGGAUUUACUGGGCGUAAAGGGCAAGUAGGCGGUGGUCAAAGUUGGGCGUGACAGAUCCUGGCUUAACUGGGAGAGGUCGUGCAAAACUAGAUCACUAGAGGGCAGGAGAGGGGAGCGGAAUUCCUAGUGUAGCGGUGGAAUGCUCAGAUAUUAGGAAGAACACCAGUGGCGAAAGCGGCUUUCUGGCCUGCACCUGACGCUAAGGGGCGAAAGCUAGGGGAGCGAACGG
RNAcentral lists this ribosomal RNA (404 nucleotides) under uncultured bacterium. RNAcentral's name for it is "bacterial SSU rRNA". It matches the Rfam family "Bacterial small subunit ribosomal RNA", at positions 355 to 775 of the family's 1533-position model. The record is from RNAcentral.